AGUGAACGCUGGCGGCAGGCCUAACACAUGCAAGUCGAACGGCAGCACAGUAAUAGCUCGCUCUUACGGGUGGCGAGUGGCGGACGGGUGAGGAAUAACUCGCAAUCUACUUUUUCGUGGGGGAUAACGUAGGGAAACUUACGCUAAUACCGCAUACGACCUACGGGUGAAAGCAGGGGAUCUUCGGAUCUUGCGCGAUUGAAUGAGCCGAUGUCGGAUUAGUUAGUUGGCGGGGUAAAGGCCCACCAAGGCGACGAUCCGUAGCUGGUCUGAGAGGAUGAUCAGCCACACUGGAGCUGAGACACGGUCCAGACGCCUACGGGAGGCAGCAGUGGGGAAUAUUAGACAAUGGGCGCAAGCCUGAUCCAGCCAUACCGCGUGGGUGAAGAAGGCCUUCGGGUUGUAAAGCCCUUUUGUUGGGAAAGAAAAGCAGCAGGUUAAUACCCCGCUGUUCUGACGGUACCCAAAGAAUAAGCACCGGCUAACUUCGUG
RNAcentral lists this ribosomal RNA (492 nucleotides) under uncultured bacterium. RNAcentral's name for it is "partial 16S ribosomal RNA". It matches the Rfam family "Bacterial small subunit ribosomal RNA", at positions 29 to 507 of the family's 1533-position model. The record is from RNAcentral.